UCCAAUUUAGGGCUUUGCAGGGGCUCCCUCCAGGGCUCUCUCAAUGGAUUUAUAUCACAGCCAGAUAGCAUCUUCGAAAGCUCAUCUGAGCUGGAAAAUAGAGAAACAUCCUUCUCCAUUGUCAAGUGACAAGCGAUGGUACCCAGGCUGCUGACUCUUCAAUCCUGCAAAUCUUGAAACAAAGACUUCCCUGUCCUCUCGGCUUGUCACCUGUAGGCAUGAAGAUGUCAGCUCCCUGGCCAACCACCAGGUAUGAAAGCUGCCCUACUGCGUGCACCAGGUGGGGCUCCUCUUAGUUGUUCCUGGAUGGGAUUAUGACCCAGAGUGAGGAAGUGCACUGCCCACAUACCUAAGGAUCUGCUGCUAUCAUCCGGGGCCUGAAAAAGGGCAAAGGGACUCUGUUGCUAUCUUUAGACCUGAUUGCUGGCUGCGAUACCAGCCUCUAGCCAAGGGUGUUUGCAGUCCUAGAGCGUUCUUUCCAAAUAGGGAACACCAAGGAUGUUUGCAAACAUAGAAUGCCUUUUUCAAAUCGGACCAUCAAACUCCACCCUCUGAACAGUUUCACGUACUUCUUGGUGUCCUGUGACUUCAUUUUGUCCCAGUCCUGUUCUAUAAGAGCCCUCAGUGUCUGAGAGCUUGCCCCAAAGCAAGUGCACCAGCUCAGACCUGGGGUGGGGCUCCUGUAGUGUGCCAUUUAGGUCUGUGGAGAAGAAGCAGCUGUGUGCAUCUGGACCCUCAGUGCUGUUUCUACACACAGACUCUGAUGCCAGGGUUCUACAGCCCCCUAUAAGACGUGGUCCACUUAUACCUUGCAGAUGAGGAAACCCAGGAACGGGCUGGAGAGAUGGCUCAGCCGUUAAAAGGCUAGGCUCACAACCAAAUAUAUAAGAGGAAACCCAGGAACUAGAAGAGGAAGUGACUGACUGGCCAUGGUGUGAGGCAUGGAACAGGGCAAGAGAGCAGGCUGUUCAAUCAUAGACUCCGUCCUUCUCAAUGUGACUGUGACUGUCAAUGUACAGGUGCCGGGACCUCAGGAGGUUUCCAGAAUGAAGGAAUCUGUGUCUAUGUCUGCUGUCCAGGCCUGCAGCGAAGUGGUGACCAGUGGAGAGGCCAGGUGGUGUAGGGGCUGCACCCAGCUUGCUGCUCGGUAUAAAAUGGAAAUUUGGAGCUGUUUGCAGGUCUUCUCACCCCCACACUGAGAAGGGAGCAGGCAGACUUUGCGCCUGAAGACAAGAACACAGUGCUGGGUAACACAAGCAGCUGGUUCUUAUGUAAAUAUUGACGGAGUUGCUACCCCGGUCCUGGCAGUGGGUGGGAGCCCUUUGACGGUAAGAGAAUGCACCAUUGUGGUCCAUUGUGAGGUGUGGGGUGAGUAGGACACAGGGCUAAGUCUGAGCACGACAGAACUGUGGGCUGAACAGGAUCACCAUGUGGGCCUCCACUUGCUCCUUACUCCAUAUCUACCUUCUGCAGAUCUCUCUGGCAUCCCUGGAGCGGGCCUACCUGUAUGGGAUCCACCUCAGCGGAUAGCCAGCAGCAUACCAGGUUCCUGCCCACACAGUGCUCCUGUUCCUAUGCUAGGUCUCCCUCCGGACCCUUGCUACAGAUCCUCUGCAGCUUGCAGCCCACUGGCUCCUUCCCAUUUUCCUGUCCAGCCCCUCCCCUCGUUCAUCUUCGGCUGGGUUCACUGCGCUGUUCAUUGCUCCUGGCAUUUCUGGCCUGCCCAGGAUGCUCUCAGCCUGGGAAUGCUCUGAGCUCUCUGCCACCAUUCUCAGCUCCAGGCUCAGGGCUCAGUCCCUGGAGAGAGGUCUAGACUCUGGCCAUGGCCUCUCCAUGUCACCAGCAGCAGGUGGGCUGGCCGUCACAUGGGCCAGUGGCCUGUGAUCCAUCUUCUCCUCACAACCCAGGUUUUCUCAGUCAAUGGUUUCCAUUUCCUCCAUGGAACUGCUAGGAUCAAAGGCUGCCCGGGAAGCUCGUUGACUGGCCAGGGGAUAAACAUGUGCACUGGAGGCCAACCCAGGGCCUGAAGGACAACCCACUACGGGGUUGGGGGGGGCAACAUGGCAGUGUGUUGGAUCAGGACUAGGUGGGUGGGAAGGGCAAAACACCUGCAGGCUGUGCUGUGGUCACUUUUGCAUGGCUGCCACAGUCCAAUGUAGGAUGAGCUACUAUGUCAUAACCAUCAGGUAUAGCACCUGCACCUGUCUCCUUCCCUCCCUGCCCCCUACCAUCCCACCAGCUUGCCCAUCAGACAGACACCUGACAGGCCCUGUACUGGGCACACAAGGCUAGACUUCCAAAGAGUAUGCCCUGCCCAAAGCAGAGAGUUGCCGAGCUAGGCAGUAGGGCCUAGAUUAUGGGACCAGCCACAUUUAGGUCGUCCCCAAGUCUUUGCUCUUGUUUUUCAAGUGACUCAUUGGGGAAAUUUUAGAUGAUUUGGUCACUGAAGUACAAAGUAGAAAAUGAGGUUUGCAGCUGUUGGGCCUGUUGGUUUUUCCAUUUCCUUUCUAUUUGCCCCAUCAGGCAGUUGGCUCAGGGAGGGAACACCUGGAUGGGCUAGUCCUGGCAACCCCGGAUGAAGAACAUCACUGGUGGUGAGUGAUCUGUGGUGCCAACAGCAGGAGGGGAAAAAGAAGGAGGAGGAGGAGUAGGAAGGGGAGGAGGAGGAGGAAAAGGAGG
This 2679-nucleotide small RNA is filed under the name Rattus norvegicus (Norway rat). RNAcentral's name for it is "uncharacterized LOC108351687". The record is from RNAcentral. Lineage: Eukaryota; Metazoa; Chordata; Mammalia; Rodentia; Muridae.